This 383-nucleotide ribosomal RNA is filed under the name uncultured eukaryote. Its description in RNAcentral is "partial 18S ribosomal RNA". It matches the Rfam family "Eukaryotic small subunit ribosomal RNA", at positions 592 to 976 of the family's 1831-position model. The record is from RNAcentral.
CAAUAGCGUAUAUUAAAGUUGUUGCAGUUAAAAAGCUCGUAGUUGGAUUUCUGGUAGGAAUGAUCGGUCCGCCUCGAAAGGGGUGUGUACUUGUGUCGUAUCCGGCCAUCCUUGCGGAGAGCAGUUCUGGCAUUAGGUUGUCGGGGCUGGGAUCCGCAUCGUUUACUGUGAAAAAAUUAGAGUGUUUAAAGCAGGCAGUCGCUUGAAUACAUUAGCAUGGAAUAAUUCGAUAGGACUUUGGUGCUAUUUUGUUGGUUUGCACACCAAGGUAAUGAUUAAUAGGGAUAGUUGGGGGUAUUCAUAUUUAAUUGUCAGAGGUGAAAUUCUUAGAUUUAUGAAAGAUGAACUUAUGCGAAAGCAUUUACCAAGGAUGUUUUCAUUAA